CAUUUUUUGUUUGUAUAUCAUAAUACAGGAGUUAUUUGCUUUAUAAAAAAAACACCCAUGGCCAGGCUGUUCUACUGCAGUGUGCGACCUUACGGAAAGGUCAUAUGGCAGUAGUGAGCUACCUUACGGAAAGGUCAUAUGGCAGUAGUGAGCUACCUUACGGAAAGGUCAUAUGACAGUCUGUAUCAACAACUGAACUCCAUACUUUGAUCAUAUGUUGAGACUUCUGGCAUGUUACAUCAAACAAUGCAGAAAACCCCAUUUGGUCAAGGUUCUAUAAUAGUUCGGUCUGAUGUUUAGUACAUGUAUUGGAUGAUGCUCACAUUAAAUAUCACCAAAUAGAAAAGCAAGGAUCUGUUGUUUCAAGACAAACAACAGCAUCACACAUUUAGAUAAUUGUGGAGGAAAUGGGACAGGGAAAAUCCAUCACAAUCAGUAUAUAUGAUUAAAGGGUUGGUUCUCAACAUCCGAUUGCAGAGCAAGAGAAAUAUGUGGAGACCAAAGAUCUAUAAAAUCUAUAUGAACAAUAUAUCUAUUCCAGAAGGGUUUUGAGCUUCUACUUGCAAAUCAUGAAAAUACCAGGCAUAUCAAGGAGUAUCCAACACCAUGCCAUACCAAGAAAUAUACAUGUAUAAGGGGUCUUUUGAAAAGAAGUGACCUUGGUUUAUAUUCAAUGUCACAUAGGUAAAAGUUUAAACACAGAAACAACUUGUUUUAUAACUAAAAAGUCAUCAAGAUAUUUUGUUGUUGGGUUCCUAGGAUGAGGCUAGGCAAGUUUGUGAAAAGUCAUUACUUUCAUCCAUAUACAUUACCAGAGUCAAACUUGUUAAAACACCAGCAUCUAUUGAUUAACCAAAAAGCCUAAACUAAAAAUAUUUGACUGGUAGGUUCCAGGAACAUCGCUGACCUUGACAAAUAUCUAAUCUAGCAUUAAAAUUCGCCAAAAACUUUUUUUUUUUAAAUAAAAAAAAACCUCACCUCAAACAGAAGAAAAGGGCAGGCAGGAAAAUGAUGAAUGUUGAGAUGCAUGCUACCAAGCCUCUAAGUCACCAGACUCUUGUAUUCUUCUGGUAGCCAAACCAUUUUAAGUUAACUAUCAUGUCAAGUUUUAAAGGAUUAUAUAAAGAAGUAUGAAAUCUCAUCUGGCAAUAGUGGCAACUUACAUUUGUAAAUCUUUCUGGAUCUCUUCAUUGUACAGUUUACAGUGUUAGCUAGGUUUUAAUAUAUGCUUUCUCUUGUCUGGUUUCAGCAACGUCUACACAGGUAUUUAUUACCUUUAACAUCCGAAAUGCUAUUCAGAUGUAGAACAAAAUAAAACGUACCAAAAUAUGAAAGUUUGUCACAAAUUUAUUUUGUGUUCCGAGUUCUGUCAAGAGAAUAUUCACGAAGUCAGUGUCCGUAGAAAAACUGACCAGUGUACUCUUAGGACACAUGCCUAUCCCCA
Long non-coding RNA from Pecten maximus, 1444 nucleotides. RefSeq lists it as uncharacterized. The transcript is spliced from 2 exons. The record is from RefSeq and is a predicted model, not a curated record. Lineage: Eukaryota; Metazoa; Mollusca; Bivalvia; Pectinida; Pectinidae.